UAAAGUUUGGCUCACUAACACCGAGGACGUGCGAUACGCGGAGGAAGGCGUUAUUUGCUCUGGCAAAACUGGUGUUGAUUUGAAGACCAUUUGCAGAUCUUAAAACACUCUGGGUUCACUCCAUGUGCAUGCAGGUGCCUGUGUUCUAAUCAUAAAAGGACCAUAUGUGAAAGAACCAUUUUUUGAGGCCAUACUAUACCUCAACCAUGAACAGUAUACUGAAGUUAUAUAUCUAUGGCACUGUGGUAUCACUGUUGGCUGUGUUUGUAAGUUUGAUGGAUUCAUUUGGCAGCUUGGUGCCCCAGCAGAAUAAUGGGGAGCGUCACUUCGGACAAAGAGCUUAUCAAGAUUGUUUUACCAAGAGACUGCUACAUCACCAGAAGCUCAUGAUCAGGCGAAAUAAAUCUGCAGGGGCAUAAAACACAGUAGUCUGGAAACUUCACGGUUACUAUUUCAAAUUGUUGGCAACCAAUUCAAGAUUUUUAUUUAAAAUUAAUUUUGUAUUAAAAAUGAAGAAUGUUUAAUGAAUUUCAGUGUUUGUAUAAAUAGUACAAUUGCAAUCUAUACCAAUUUUUUCUGAAAAUAUAUAAUUGUAGGUACAAUGUCAUGAGCAUAGUGGUCUAUAUACACUACACUAGGGAUUAAGAGCUGUCCAGCAUGUCCUGAGUCAGCUGUCACCCAUGAGACCACAGCCUGACCACUCUAGCCAAAGAUGAGGCAGGGCUUCUUUUAGUUUAUAUCACCAAACAUAAGAGUAACGCAGCAAAAUUGCCAGUGUUACCUGGACUCUUACACUCUUAAACUAACCCUCAAUACUGUACCAAUAAAAGGUGUGUUUCCAUUCUGUAUAUAUAGUGUGUAACUUAACACUAGUAUGCAUACUUGUUAAGGAUUAAUUAAACACUAUAAGGUAGUUUAACACUAAUGAGUUUACUUUGAUACAUAAUACUGAUUCCAUUAUCGAAUGAAAUUGGGUUAAAGAAUGACUUCUUUGCAAUCAUCAAGUUACAGACUUAUUAAUGAAUAUUCACAAAGCUAAAUCAGUCAAUUUAAUUCAGUUAAUGCAAAUCUAGUUUAUAAUAUUACUGUAUAUAGCAAAGUCAAUGCACUGGUAUCCACACACAACUGCAUAAUCAUAACAAUCAGAACUUUAUCUUUGGAGCUAUGUGUUUGAUAAUAACAGUUACACAGCCUCUCGCUAAACCUCUAGUUAGCUCAUCAGACUUAAAUAUAUUUUAAUAAAUAGUAUGGCAAUUAAUGCAAAUACUUCUAAAAAUCAAGAUGCUAAAAACAAAUAUAGUUCUCAGACCUCUGCAACCUUUUUAAGUGUUGCUCAGUUCAAAGUGAUAUACUGUACUGUGAUAAAAUGUAUACAAUAGGAAAUAAGCUUGAUGAACAAUGAGAAUAGUCUCCUCAUUUGUAAAAUCUGUUAUGUUGUAUCCAAAUUAUAUUUCUUCUCAACCUCACAUAUUGGACAUCAUUUUUAUAGGGCUGCUGGGAGAGACACCAGCCUCAUUAGGUGCGAGGCAGAUGCCAGUGCUUCCUGGAGUGCCAAUUCAUUACAAUGCCCAAUCCCAUAGUGCCAAUUCACUUAAAUUGCAUGUCUUUGGGGAUAUGAAAGGAAGACCAAAGUACAUGGAGAAAAAACAAAAGAGAAUAGACAACUGUCUGUAUGGACUUUUGCAAGUUUUAGAAGCCUGGGUGGAUUUUAUUUCAGAUGCUUCAUUUUUAUGCCGUAACCUAAAGACAUGUGUGUUGGUUAAAUGGCAAAUAGAAAUUGGUCCAAUAGGAUGGAGAAUGGGCGUAUGGGCUAAUGUAACCUUCCAGGAUUGGUUCUAAGUCUAGGCUGAUCUUCAGCUCUCUGAGAUAGAAAGGUUAACUGAAUGGAAGGAUAUCCUGAUUACUGGUCACCCAAGUGCUGAGGUUCAAAGCAGGGUGUAUUUCAUGGAAUGAAAAGAAGUCUGAGAAAGUGUGUUCUGUUGUUUAGUUAGUUUCAAACUUAUUUCUGUGAAGUUGAAUGUUUUCUUAUUCUUAAAUAAAACACUUAUCUAAAUUUUGCAAUAAUGAA
Long non-coding RNA from Erpetoichthys calabaricus (reedfish), 2068 nucleotides. RefSeq lists it as uncharacterized. The transcript has 4 exons. NCBI's taxonomy places the organism in Eukaryota, Metazoa, Chordata, Cladistia, Polypteriformes, Polypteridae. The record is from RefSeq and is a predicted model, not a curated record.